GACGAACGCUGGCGGCGUGCUUAACACAUGCAAGUCGAACGGAAAGGCCCCCAUCUUGGUGGGGGUGCUCGAGUGGCGAACGGGUGAGUAACACGUGGGUGAUCUGCCCUGUACUUCGGGAUAAGCUUGGGAAACUGGGUCUAAUACCGGAUAGGACCAUGGUUUAGUGUCUCAUGGUGGAAAGAUUAUUGUUUUGGUGCAGGAUGAGCUCGCGGCCUAUCAGCUUGUUGGUGGGGUAAUGGCCUACCAAGGCGUCGACGGGUAGCCGGCCUGAGAGGGUGGACGGCCACAUUGGGACUGAGAUACGGCCCAGACUCCUACGGGAGGCAGCAGUGGGGAAUAUUGCACAAUGGGCGCAAGCCUGAUGCAGCGACGCCGCGUGGGGGAUGACGGCCUUCGGGUUGUAAACUCCUUUCGUUAGGGACGAAGCCACGCUUUUGGGGUGUGGUGACGGUACCUUUGUUAAGAAGCACCGGCUAACUACGUG
RNAcentral lists this ribosomal RNA (487 nucleotides) under uncultured bacterium. Its description in RNAcentral is "partial 16S ribosomal RNA". It matches the Rfam family "Bacterial small subunit ribosomal RNA", at positions 28 to 507 of the family's 1533-position model. The record is from RNAcentral.